Molecule: small RNA, 123 nt
Filed under: Vibrio rumoiensis 1S-45
Lineage: Bacteria; Pseudomonadati; Pseudomonadota; Gammaproteobacteria; Vibrionales; Vibrionaceae
Description: MtlS RNA
Rfam family: MtlS RNA
Source: Rfam by way of RNAcentral
ACUCCCGUUUGAUGUUCUUAAAUUAUAUUGUUGUUGUAAUACGGUUCGCAAAAACCGCUGAUUGCUUAGUACCCAAUUAAUUUACCACACAAUUUAGAAAUAGAACUGAUAACGGGUUUUUCG